AUCCAGCCAUGCCGCGUGCAGGAUGAAGGCCUUCGGGUUGUAAACUGCUUUUGUACGGAACGAAACGGUCUUUUCUAAUAAAGAAGGCUAAUGACGGUACCGUAAGAAUAAGCACCGGCUAACUACGUGCCAGCAGCCGCGGUAAUACGUAGGGUGCAAGCGUUAAUCGGAAUUACUGGGCGUAAAGCGUGCGCAGGCGGUUAUGUAAGACAGUUGUGAAAUCCCCGGGCUCAACCUGGGAACUGCAUCUGUGACUGCAUAGCUAGAGUACGGUAGAGGGGGAUGGAAUUCCGCGUGUAGCAGUGAAAUGCGUAGAUAUGCGGAGGAACACCGAUGGCGAAGGCAAUCCCCUGGACCUGUACUGACGCUCAUGCACGAAAGCGUGGGGAGCAAACAGGAUUAGAUACCCUG
This 411-nucleotide ribosomal RNA is filed under the name Variovorax boronicumulans. RNAcentral describes it as "bacterial SSU rRNA". It matches the Rfam family "Bacterial small subunit ribosomal RNA", at positions 386 to 789 of the family's 1533-position model. Lineage: Bacteria; Pseudomonadati; Pseudomonadota; Betaproteobacteria; Burkholderiales; Comamonadaceae. The record is from RNAcentral.